ACACACAGUUGAAAAAAAUUAAUUGUUAUCAAAUCUGUCAGUUUUAUUUUUAUAUAAUUUGAAAUCUACAUUUCUGAGUGUAGCGAUGUCUGCUCUAAACACUAACAGGAAUGGUAUGGCUAAAUCCCAAAACACUAACAGUAAUGGUAUGGCUAAAUCCCAAAACACUAACAGGAAUGGUAUGGCUAAAUCCCAAAACACUAACAGUAAUGGUAUGGCUAAAUCCCAAAACACUAACAGUAAUGGUAUGGCUAAAUCUCAAAACACUAACAGGAAUGGUAUGGCUAAAUCCCAAAACACUAACAGUAAUGGUAUGGCUAAAUCCCAAAACACUAACAGUAAUGGUAUGGCUAAAUCUCAAAACACUAACAGUAAUGGUAUGGCUAAAUCCCAAAACACUAACAGUAAUGGUAUGGCUAAAUCCCAAAACACUAACAGUAAUGGUAUGGCUAAAUCCAAAACACUAACAGUAAUGGUAUGGCUAAAUCCCAAAACACUAACAGUAAUGGUAUGGCUAAAUCCAAAACACUAACAGUAAUGGUAUGGCUAAAUCCCAAAACACUAACAGUAUAUGUAUUUAUUGCAAUUCCCCACUGUGGGACUCAUGCUUGGUGCUGUCCCUUGUGAGUGAUUUCCCCAGUUUUGCCUCUGUGAGUGAAGCAGCCUCUGUGAGGGAAGCAGUCUGCAUGAGUGAAGCAGCCUGUGAAUGAUUUUACUCCCAGACAGCAUGGCUGGGUACUCAUCCAGGCAAGCCCAGGGGGACGAGGCAGAAAUAGCGGCACUGCUUCAGCUCAUUCAGGCCCUGGUAAACACUUUACCCCGACCAACAGUCAGACUGUCUCCAUCAAUCCAGACCCUUUAUAUGACCCCUAUAAUGAAAUGUCCUCUUCUUACCUUUCUGACCUUAUGUUAUCACAGUCUAUUCUCCUCUUCCUCUUGACUAAGUAAGUGUUUUUAUUGACGAGGUUGCCAUUGCCGUUGUGAUGGAAAUGGUAUUAUGUCUUUGAACAAAUAAGAGCUGACACUGAUGCCCUGAUGACACGGGACAUAUCUCCGUGUCUGUCUGUAUGCUGUGUCUCUGUCAAUCACAUUCUAACACUUAAUGUCAUCGUCGAUACCCAGAAUCAAAGGGGACAGCGUCAUUCCUGCGUAUCCAUGGAAGCCAUCCCCUAUAUCACGCAAAGGAUGUGUACGAGAUGUGAAUUCUCUCUCUCCCUCUAUUUGGGCCCUUGAAGUCUUGCCAGCUCCACUCAGACUGCAGUACAGGUCUACAGAGCAAGAGCAGAACGAAACACUCCUUUCAAGAGCCAGAAGAGCACUGGGACUGGCAGCACAAGGCCUUCUGAAUAAACUCUAUCACUCCUCUGGAUUCAUCAGGAAUAUUUCUGCCAACACAGUACUCACACAAGGGCACUUUAUGUCAUGAUGGUGAGGGGCAAUGUUGCCCAAGGUUUACUGGGGAUUUCUGUGUGCUGUGAUGGUUCAUGAGUCUUUUUAAUCAGGAGAGAGUAAGAUGAGACAUGCAGUCGUUUAUCCAUUUGCUUAAAUGACUGAAAUGAGCCAGACAAGGAUUUGAAUGAAGUUCUUCUCGUUCUGACAAGGAGAGCCCUGUCAGCCAGUACAGAUGUAUAGUUUAUCAGAGAGCUGUCUCCUGCCAGUAAAAAAUAAAUAACUCAAUGUGAUGUGUUAUCUAACCCAGCUGAGAGUCCUUUUGGGGUCUGGGCCUCUCGCUCCCUCUUAUCUGCAGGCCUGGUCAGGAUUGCCCCUAGCACUAUACACCUGAUUCCACUAAUCAAAGGUUUGAUGGUGAGUUGAUUAGUGGAAUUAGGUGUGUAAUGCUAGGGGGAAACCUAAAAUGUACGCGACCUUUCAAAAGUUUGGGGUCACUUGGAAAUGUCCUUGUUUUUGAAAGAAAAGCACAUUUAUUUGGUCCAUUAAAAUAACAUCAAAUUGAUCAUAAAUACAGUGUAGACAUUGUUAAUCUUGUAAAGGACUAUUGUAGUUGGAAAUGGCAGAUUUUUAAUGGAAUAUCUACAUAGGUGUACAGAGGCCCAUUAUCAGAAACCAUCACUCCUGCGUUCAAACGGCACGUUGUGUUAUCUAAUCCAAGUUUAUCAUUUUAAAAGGCUAAUUGACCAUUAGAAAACCCUUUUGCAAUUAUGUUGCACAGCUGAAAACGGUUGUGCUGAUUAAAUAACUAAUAAAACUGUCCUUCUUUAGACUAUUUGAGUAUCUGGAGCAUCAGCAUUUGUGGGUUUGAUUAGAGGCUCAAAAUGGCCAGAAACAAAGUACGUUCUUCUGAAACUGGUCAGUCUAUUCUUGUUCUGAGAAAUGAAGGCUAUUCCACUCGAGAAAUUGUCAAGAAAUUGAAGAUCUCGUACAACGCUGUGUACUACUCCCCUCACAGAACAGCACAAACUGUCCCUGUCACAUGAGUUGACGCUGGAGAGACGAAGCAGGUACGGGGAGUAACAUUUAAUAAAUAAUGGACAUAAAACAAGACAGGAAGAACGUCCUCAAACAGAAAACACAGACAAAAACAAUCAUUGCAGCAGCGGGGAACAGAGCAGGGAACUGACAAAUAUAGGGGAGGAAAUAAACAGGUGAUAAAUGAGUCCAGGUGAGUCCAAUAACGCUGAAGCGAGUGACGAGUGAGGGCAGGUGAGCGUGAUGGAGGGCAGGUGAGCGUGAUGGAGGGCAGGUGAGCGUGAUGGAGGGCAGGUGAGCGUGAUGGAUGGCAGGUGAGCGUGAUGGAGGGCAGGUGAGCGUGAUGGAGGGCAGGUGAGCGUGAUGGAGGGCAGGUGAGCGUGAUGGAGGGCAGGUGAGCGUGAUGGAGGGCAGGUGAGCGUGAGUGAGGGCAGGUGAGCGUGAUGGAUGGCAGGUGAGCGUGAUGGAGGGCAGGUGAGCGGCAUGGCGUGAUGGUGAGCGUGAUGCAAGGCAAUCUGGCGCCCUCAACUGCCAGGGGGAGGGAAGAGCGGGAGCAGAUGUGACAGUCUCUAACCAGAAUAGAAAGAGAAGUGACAACUGAGCGAGAGGACAAGCACAUUAGAGUGUCUAGUUUGAGAAACAGACGCCUCACAAAUCCUCGACUGGCAGCUUCAUUAAAUAGUACCCACAAAACACCAGUCUCAACAUUAACAGUGAAGAGACGAUUCCGGGAUGUUGGCCUUCUAGGCAGAGCUGCAAAGAAAAACAAGGACAUUUCUAAGUGACCCCAAACUUUUGAACAGUAGUUUAGGUCCACAGGACCAUGGGACCAUUAUUCUGAUUCAACUUUUUAAAGAAAUUUGCUCUUGUUAGUUGAGAGGGCUGGUUGUGUAUAAUGUGCUGUUGCUGAGGGCUGUUAGGUAUUAGACUCAGAGGUCUUUGUGUCUCUCUCUCUCCAGUCCAUUCUUUCUCCAGUCCAUUCUUUCUCCAGUCCAUUCUUUCUCCAGUCCAUUCUUUCUCCAAUCCAUUUUUUCUCCAGUCCAUUUUUUCUCCAGUCCAUUCUUUGUCCAGUCUUUUCUUUGUCCAGUCUUUUCUUUCCCCAGUCUUUUCUUUCUCCAGUCCAUUCUUUCUCCAGUCCAUUCUUUCUUUUUUCUUU
This is a long non-coding RNA of Oncorhynchus tshawytscha (Chinook salmon), 3583 nucleotides long. The record is from Ensembl. Lineage: Eukaryota; Metazoa; Chordata; Actinopteri; Salmoniformes; Salmonidae.